GACGAACGCUGGCGGCGUGCUUAACACAUGCAAGUCGAACGGAAAGGCCCUGCUUUUGUGGGGUGCUCGAGUGGCGAACGGGUGAGUAACACGUGAGUAACCUGCCCUUGACUUUGGGAUAACUUCAGGAAACUGGGGCUAAUACCGGAUAGGAGCUCCUGCUGCAUGGUGGGGGUUGGAAAGUUUCGGCGGUUGGGGAUGGACUCGCGGCUUAUCAGCUUGUUGGUGGGGUAGUGGCUUACCAAGGCUUUGACGGGUAGCCGGCCUGAGAGGGUGACCGGCCACAUUGGGACUGAGAUACGGCCCAGACUCCCACGGGAGGCAGCAGUGGGGAAUAUUGCACAAUGGGCGGAAGCCUGAUGCAGCAACGCCGCGUGCGGGAUGACGGCCUUCGGGUUGUAAACCGCUUUCGCCUGUGACGAAGCGUGAGUGACGGUAAUGGGUAAAGAAGCACCGGCUAACUACGUGCCAGCAGCCGCGGUGAUACGUAGGGUGCGAGCGUUGUCCGGAUUUAUUGGGCGUAAAGGGCUCGUAGGUGGUUGAUCGCGUCGGAAGUGUAAUCUUGGGGCUUAACCCUGAGCGUGCUUUCGAUACGGGUUGACUUGAGGAAGGUAGGGGAGAAUGGAAUUCCUGGUGGAGCGGUGGAAUGCGCAGAUAUCAGGAGGAACACCAGUGGCGAAGGCGGUUCUCUGGGCCUUUCCUGACGCUGAGGAGCGAAAGCGUGGGGAGCGAACAGGCUUAGAUACCCUGGUAGUCCACGCUGUAAACGGUGGGUACUAGGUGUGGGGUCCAUUCCACGGGUUCCGUGCCGUAGCUAACGCUUUAAGUACCCCGCCUGGGGAGUACGGCCGCAAGGCUAAAACUCAAAGGAAUUGACGGGGCCCCGCACAAGCGGCGGAGCAUGCGGAUUAAUUCGAUGCAACGCGUAGAACCUUACCUGGGUUUGACAUGGAUCGGGAGUGCUCAGAGAUGGGUGUGCCUCUUUUGGGGUCGGUUCACAGGUGGUGCAUGGCUGUCGUCAGCUCGUGUCGUGAGAUGUUGGGUUAAGUCCCGCAACGAGCGCAACCCUUGUUCACUGUUGCCAGCACGUUAUGGUGGGGACUCAGUGGAGACCGCCGGGGUCAACUCGGAGGAAGGUGGGGAUGACGUCAAGUCAUCAUGCCCCUUAUGUCCAGGGCUUCACGCAUGCUACAAUGGCUGGUACAGAGAGUGGCGAGCCUGUGAGGGUGAGCGAAUCUCGGAAAGCCGGUCUCAGUUCGGAUUGGGGUCUGCAACUCGACCUCAUGAAGUCGGAGUCGCUAGUAAUCGCAGAUCAGCAACGCUGCGGUGAAUACGUUCCCGGG
Molecule: ribosomal RNA, 1343 nt
Filed under: uncultured bacterium
Lineage: Bacteria
Description: 16S ribosomal RNA
Rfam family: Bacterial small subunit ribosomal RNA
Source: RNAcentral